Mastomys coucha (southern multimammate mouse) is the source of this 237-nucleotide long non-coding RNA. RefSeq lists it as uncharacterized. The transcript has 2 exons. NCBI's taxonomy places the organism in Eukaryota, Metazoa, Chordata, Mammalia, Rodentia, Muridae. The record is from RefSeq and is a predicted model, not a curated record.
GCAGGAGGAAGAGAUGGUGAUAAUGACAUUUUAAACAUGAAGUGAAGCUCAAAGCUUGUCUGUUGGGGAUCAACACCCCUCCCCACAGGAGCAUACUCACAACGGUGCAUAGCACUGUCUGACUCGGGUACCUUGUCCAUAGGACAGAAAAAACAUCCUAUCCCAAACCUUGAUUUUCUCUCUCAACUUGGCUGCCACACAGACUGUUGGAAUAAAUAUUGUCAUGCUUCAAAGAAA